UCUGGUUGAUCCUGCCAGUGCGCAUACGCUCUUUUUAAAGACUAAGCCAUGCACGUGCUAGUUCAUACAUAUUUAUUGUGAGACUGCGGACGGCUCAGUAAAUCAGUUAUAAUCUGCUCGAUUGUUAAAGGUUAUUGGAUAACCGUGGGAAAUCUAGAGCUAAUACAUGUAAUUUAGGGUGCAAGCAAUUGUGCUCGAUGGCAUUUAUUAGAUAAUGACCAACCAUUGGCGAAAGCUGAUGUGGCGAAUCUAGAUAACUGUGCAGAUCGUAUGGCCUUGAGCUGACGACAUUUCGAUUGAAUUUCUGCCCUAUCAACUUUUGUCGGUAGUGUAGUGGACUACCGAGGUUUUUACGGGUGACGGGGGAUCAGGGUUCGAUUCCGGAGAGGGAGCCUGAGAAACGGCUACCACAUCCAAGGAAGGCAGCAGGCGCGCAAAUUACCCAAUCCAGACAAUGGGAGGUGGUGACGAAAAGUACCAGAUGACGACCGUAAGGUUGUCAAUCUGGAAUGGAAUCAAUUUAAGUAAUUGAUUGAGAAACGACUGGAGGGCAAGUCUGGUGCCAGCAGCCGCGGUAAUUCCAGCUCCAGUAGCGUAUCUCAAAGUUGCUGCGCUUAAAACGCUCGUAGUUGGAUCACAAACUGUUUAUGUGUGGGUAACGAGAAGGUGCCACAUCUAGGAACUUGAUGGUGUGUCCUCACACUAUCAAGUAACUGGACGGUACACUCUUGUUUCCGUAAGCUUGUAGACAGUAAUUACACGUGAGGAUAGACACUAGCCUUGAGUGAGCCGGUGUUUGUGUCUCACGGAGUGUGCCUUGAGUAAAUCAGAGUGCUUAAAGCAGGCUUUACGCUUGAAUGUUAUAGCAUGGAACGAACAAUCGUGUAGGGUGUAUGCUGUAGACGGCUUGUUGGACUUGUUCAACAAGCUUCAGUGUACCACACCGACCACCAGUUAAGGAUGUUGGUUCCUUAUUGGGGUAUUGAUUAAGAGGAGCGGUUGGGGGCAUUGGUAUUUGGCAGCGAGAGGUGAAAUUCUUGGACCUGCCAAGGACUAACAAAUGCGAAGGCAUCUGUCCAGACCGUAUCCAUUAAUCAAGAACGAUAGUGAAAGGUUCGAAGACGAUCAGAUACCGUCCUAGUUUUCACUGUAAACUAUGCCGACCCGGGAUUAGUUUGGAGUUAUUAUUAUGCUCGGAGUUGGUCCCCCUGGGAAACCUAAAGUUUUUCGGUUGCGGGGGGAGUAUGGUCGCAAGGCUGAAACUUAAAGGAAUUGACGGAAGGGCACCACCAGGGGUGGAGCCUGCGGCUUAAUUUGACUCAACACGGGAAAACUUACCUGGUCCGAACAUCCGAAGGAUACACCGACUGAUAGAUCGUUGUUGAUGGGGUGAAAAGUGGUGCAUGGCCGUUCUUAGUUCGUGGAGUGAUCUGUCAGGCCAAUUCCGGUAACGAACGAGACUACAUUCUCCACUUGACGAGCCAAAGAAGGUACUGGUUGAGUGUGUUGUUGGCAACAACAACUACUUGGUUAGUGCUGAAGGCUGUGCAUGUUGGAUGGUUUGGUGUUGUGUUUCGGCAGGACAUCAGGCUGUUUGGGGUGUGCUCCCUUUGGUAAAUCAAUGCAUUUCCCUCGAGGCAAUGUAUUGUAUCGUGGAGAGACAGCGGAAUAUAUUACAAAAUCCGAGGAAGUGUAGCUAUAACAGGUCCGUGAUGCCCUUAGAUGUUCAGGGCUGCACGCGCGCUACAAUGAUAGCAACAGCGAGUUUCUGGAUCGAAAGAUUUGGGCAACCUUGUAAUUGCUAUCGUGAUGGGGAUUGACGUUUGUAAAUACGUCAUGAAAGAGGAAUCCCUAGUACGUGCGAUUCAUUUAGAUCGCGCGGAUUGCGUCCCUGCCCUUUGUACACACCGCCCGUCGCUACUACCGAGUGAAUCGUGUCAUAAUGCCUUGGAAGCGGACGUUACCUGGGCUUAGUGCUUGGUGUGAUGCUGCGAUCAGCGUAAAAUGGCGC
RNAcentral lists this ribosomal RNA (2011 nucleotides) under Sphaeractinomyxon sp. type 7 LFR-2016. Its description in RNAcentral is "SSU rRNA". It matches the Rfam family "Eukaryotic small subunit ribosomal RNA". Lineage: Eukaryota; Metazoa; Cnidaria; Myxozoa. The record is from RNAcentral.